UCAUCUCCGGGGGUAGAGCACUGUUUCGGCAAGGGGGUCAUCCCGACUUACCAACCCGAUGCAAACUGCGAAUACCGGAGAAUGUUAUCACGGGAGACACACGGCGGGUGCUAACGUCCGUCGUGAAGAGGGAAACAACCCAGACCGCCAGCUAAGGUCCCAAAGUCAUGGUUAAGUGGGAAACGAUGUGGGAAGGCCCAGACAGCCAGGAUGUUGGCUUAGAAGCAGCCAUCAUUUAAAGAAAGCGUAAUAGCUCACUGGUCGAGUCGGCCUGCGCGGAAGAUGUAACGGGGCUAAACCAUGCACCGAAGCUGCGGCAGCGACGCUUAUGCGUUGUUGGGUAGGGGAGCGUUCUGUAAGCCUGCGAAGGUGUGCUGUGAGGCAUGCUGGAGGUAUCAGAAGUGCGAAUGCUGACAUAAGUAACGAUAAAGCGGGUGAAAAGCCCGCUCGCCGGAAGACCAAGGGUUCCUGUCCAACGUUAAUCGGGGCAGGGUGAGUCGACCCCUAAGGCGAGGCCGAAAGGCGUAGUCGAUGGGAAACAGGUUAAUAUUCCUGUACUUGGUGUUACUGCGAAGGGGGGACGGAGAAGGCUAUGUUGGCCGGGCGACGGUUGUCCCGGUUUAAGCGUGUAGGCUGGUUUUCCAGGCAAAUCCGGAAAAUCAAGGCUGAGGCGUGAUGACGAGGCACUACGGUGCUGAAGCAACAAAUGCCCUGCUUCCAGGAAAAGCCUCUAAGCAUCAGGUAACAUCAAAUCGUACCCCAAACCGACACAGGUGGUCAGGUAGAGAAUACCAAGGCGCUUGAGAGAACUCGGGUGAAGGAACUAGGCAAAAUGGUGCCGUAACUUCGGGAGAAGGCACGCUGAUACGUAGGUGAAGCGACUUGCUCGUGGAGCUGAAAUCAGUCGAAGAUACCAGCUGGCUGCAACUGUUUAUUAAAAACACAGCACUGUGCAAACACGAAAGUGGACGUAUACGGUGUGACGCCUGCCCGGUGCCGGAAGGUUAAUUGAUGGGGUUAGCGGUAACGCGAAGCUCUUGAUCGAAGCCCCGGUAAACGGCGGCCGUAACUAUAACGGUCCUAAGGUAGCGAAAUUCCUUGUCGGGUAAGUUCCGACCUGCACGAAUGGCGUAAUGAUGGCCAGGCUGUCUCCACCCGAGACUCAGUGAAAUUGAACUCGCUGUGAAGAUGCAGUGUACCCGCGGCAAGACGGAAAGACCCCGUGAACCUUUACUAUAGCUUGACACUGAACAUUGAGCCUUGAUGUGUAGGAUAGGUGGGAGGCUUUGAAGUGUGGACGCCAGUCUGCAUGGAGCCGACCUUGAAAUACCACCCUUUAAUGUUUGAUGUUCUAACGUUGGCCCGUGAUCCGGGUUGCGGACAGUGUCUGGUGGGUAGUUUGACUGGGGCGGUCUCCUCCUAAAGAGUAACGGAGGAGCACGAAGGUUGGCUAAUCCUGGUCGGACAUCAGGAGGUUAGUGCAAUGGCAUAAGCCAGCUUGACUGCGAGCGUGACGGCGCGAGCAGGUGCGAAAGCAGGUCAUAGUGAUCCGGUGGUUCUGAAUGGAAGGGCCAUCGCUCAACGGAUAAAAGGUACUCCGGGGAUAACAGGCUGAUACCGCCCAAGAGUUCAUAUCGACGGCGGUGUUUGGCACCUCGAUGUCGGCUCAUCACAUCCUGGGGCUGAAGUAGGUCCCAAGGGUAUGGCUGUUCGCCAUUUAAAGUGGUACGCGAGCUGGGUUUAGAACGUCGUGAGACAGUUCGGUCCCUAUCUGCCGUGGGCGCUGGAGAACUGAGGGGGGCUGCUCCUAGUACGAGAGGACCGGAGUGGACGCAUCACUGGUGUUCGGGUUGUCAUGCCAAUGGCACUGCCCGGUAGCUAAAUGCGGAAGAGAUAAGUGCUGAAAGCAUCUAAGCACGAAACUUGCCCCGAGAUGAGUUCUCCCUGACUCCUUGAGAGUCCUGAAGGAACGUUGAAGACGACGACGUUGAUAGGCCGGGUGUGUAAGCGCAGCGAUGCGUUGAGCUAACCGGUACUAAUGAACCGUGAGGCUUAACCUU
This 2060-nucleotide ribosomal RNA is filed under the name Escherichia coli KTE83. Its description in RNAcentral is "bacterial LSU rRNA". It matches the Rfam family "Bacterial large subunit ribosomal RNA", at positions 890 to 2925 of the family's 2925-position model. Lineage: Bacteria; Pseudomonadati; Pseudomonadota; Gammaproteobacteria; Enterobacterales; Enterobacteriaceae. The record is from RNAcentral.